RNAcentral lists this ribosomal RNA (460 nucleotides) under uncultured bacterium. Its description in RNAcentral is "partial 16S ribosomal RNA". It matches the Rfam family "Bacterial small subunit ribosomal RNA", at positions 338 to 795 of the family's 1533-position model. The record is from RNAcentral.
CCUACGGGUGGCAGCAGUGAGGAAUAUUGGUCAAUGGUCGGGAGACUGAACCAGCCAAGCCGCGUGAGGGAUGAAGGUACAGAGUAUCGUAAACCUCUUUUGUCAGGGAACAAAGGCGGGGACGUGUCCCCGGAUGAGUGUACCUGACGAAAAAGCAUCGGCUAACUCCGUGCCAGCAGCCGCGGUAAUACGGAGGAUGCGAGCGUUAUCCGGAUUUAUUGGGUUUAAAGGGUGCGCAGGCGGUCUGUUAAGUCAGUGGUGAAAGCCCGAGGCUCAACUCCGGCCCGGCCUUUGAAAUGGGCAGUCUCGAGUUGGAGAGAGGUAGGCGGAAUGCGCGGUGUAGCGGUGAAAUGCAUAGAUAUCGCGCAAACCUCCGAUUGCGAAGGCAGCAUGCCGGCUCCACACUGACGCUGAGGCACGAAAGCGUGGGUAUCGAACAGGAUUAGAUACCCGAGUAGUC